RNAcentral lists this transfer RNA (69 nucleotides) under Dryocosmus liui. RNAcentral's name for it is "tRNA-Trp". The record is from RNAcentral. Lineage: Eukaryota; Metazoa; Arthropoda; Insecta; Hymenoptera; Cynipidae.
AUAAUUUUAAGUUUAAUUAAACUAUUAACCUUCAAAGUUAAAAUUAUAAUAAAUUUAUUAUAAAUUAUA